This 177-nucleotide ribosomal RNA is filed under the name uncultured bacterium. RNAcentral describes it as "partial 16S ribosomal RNA". It matches the Rfam family "Bacterial small subunit ribosomal RNA", at positions 1316 to 1500 of the family's 1533-position model. The record is from RNAcentral.
CUCCACGAAGCUGGAUUCGCUAGUAAUCGCGCAUCAGCCACGGCGCGGUGAAUACGUUCCCGGGCCUUGUACACACCGCCCGUCAAGCCAUGGGAGCCGGGGGUACCUGAAGUGCGUAACCGCGAGGAGCGCCCUAGGGUAAAACUGGUGACUGGGGCUAAGUCGUAACAAGGUAGC